Molecule: ribosomal RNA, 395 nt
Filed under: uncultured bacterium
Lineage: Bacteria
Description: partial 16S ribosomal RNA
Rfam family: Bacterial small subunit ribosomal RNA
Source: RNAcentral
AUACGUAGGGUGCAAGCGUUAAUCGGAAUUACUGGGCGUAAAGCGUGCGCAGGCGGUUUUGUAAGACAGUGGUGAAAUCCCCGGGCUCAACCUGGGAACUGCAAUCGUGACUGCAAGGCUGGCGUGCGGCAGAGGGGGGUGGAAUUCCGCGUGUAGGAGUGAAAUGCGUAGAUAUGCGGAGGAACACCGAUGGCGAAGGCAAUCCCCUGGGCCUGCACUGACGCUCAUGCACGAAAGCGUGGGGAGCAAACAGGAUUAGAUACCCUGGUAGUCCACGCCCUAAACGAUGUCAACUGGUUGUUGGGGAUUUAUUUUCUCAGUAACGAAGCUAACGCGUGAAGUUGACCGCCUGGGGAGUACGGCCGCAAGGUUAAAACUCAAAUGAAUUGACGGGG